This 66-nucleotide transfer RNA is filed under the name Blasticotoma filiceti. RNAcentral describes it as "tRNA-Tyr". The record is from RNAcentral. Lineage: Eukaryota; Metazoa; Arthropoda; Insecta; Hymenoptera; Blasticotomidae.
GAUAAAGUGACUGAUUAUAGGUGAUAAAUUGUAAAUUUAUUUAUGAAAUUUAUAUUUCCUUUAUUA